GUUGACGGCCAUAGCAGCAGGGUUCACCCGGUCUCAUUCCGAACCCGGAAGUUAAGCCCGCUCACGUUCCUGUCUGUACUGUGGUGCGCGAGCCCACGGGAACACAGGAUCGCUGUCAACC
Molecule: ribosomal RNA, 121 nt
Filed under: Euryarchaeota archaeon CG_4_9_14_3_um_filter_38_12
Lineage: Archaea; Methanobacteriati; Methanobacteriota
Source: RNAcentral